RNAcentral lists this ribosomal RNA (330 nucleotides) under uncultured eukaryote. Its description in RNAcentral is "partial 18S ribosomal RNA". It matches the Rfam family "Eukaryotic small subunit ribosomal RNA", at positions 1470 to 1796 of the family's 1831-position model. The record is from RNAcentral.
CCCUUAGAUGUCCGGGGCCGCACGCGCGCUACACUGAAGGAAUCAGCGUGGCUUUCUCCCUGACCCGAAAGGGUUGGGAAACCCGUUGAAUCUCCUUCGUGAUAGGGAUUGGGGCUUGAAAUUGUUCCCCAUGAACGAGGAAUUCCCAGUAAGCGCGAGUCAUAAGCUCGCGUUGAUUACGUCCCUGCCCUUUGUACACACCGCCCGUCGCUACUACCGAUUGAAUGGCUUAGUGAGGCUUCCGGAUUGGUUUAGAGAAGGGGGCAACUCCAUCUUGGAACCGAGAAGCUAGUCAAACUUGGUCAUUUAGAGGAAGUAAAAGUCGUAACA